CUGCAUGAUGUUGGUAACAAUUUCCUGCGAGGUGCUACCUAGAGUCUGCCUGGAGUAUACCUGGACGUGUACCUGGAGGUCAUCCUGAGGGUCAGCGCUCCGCGGCCCAGUCCUUGACCAGAUUCUCUGGAGCAAGUCGGCAUAUGUUUGUGACAUCUUUUUUAGCUUAGGCCUUGUAGGUUUCCGCUUCAGGAUGGAAUAUUUGACAUCUUGAAGAAUGAAGAGUUUCGAACUUUGCCAAUGGUUUGAACAGUUAAAAUAACAAUGAGAUCAAGUUCUUCAGAAAGUUCACAAUAUUUUCACGUUAAGUCUCCAUAAUUAGUGUCACCAGCAUAAGUCAGGGAUGAAAAUGAGGCGUACAUGGACGUGCUUAAGACGCUGGGUUGGCAUAAGUUUACCAUCAUAUACGAAAACAAUAAUGGCCUCGUGAGGGUCAAGAGCUACUCAAAAACCACUUGUGGCAGGUGAACCUCAAGCAACUUCCCUACGAUGAUGACUACAGACCGAUGCUAAAGGAUACCAAGAAGGCAGGAGUGACGCACAUUGUUCUGGACGUCGAGCACAAGAACAUCUUGACCGUACUUAAACAAGCGCAGCAGAUUGGUAUGAUGACCUCCUACCACAACUACUUUAUCACCUCACUGGACCUGCACACAGUGAACUUGGACGACUUCCGUCACAGUGGUACCAAUGUUACCGCCCUGAGGAUAGUUGACCCAGAGAACCCGCUGGUUCAGAGAGUCAUUGAGGACUGGGUAUUCGGAGAGCUCCGCUACGGCCGAACUAUUGAGUUUU
Molecule: non-coding RNA, 795 nt
Organism: Cherax quadricarinatus
Lineage: Eukaryota; Metazoa; Arthropoda; Malacostraca; Decapoda; Parastacidae
Source: RefSeq, a predicted model, not a curated record